GGGCCUGUGGUGUAUAUGGCUAGCAUCUCGUUGUUGUCACACGAGGAAGCGGGUUCGAUUCCCGCCGGGUCCA
This 73-nucleotide transfer RNA is filed under the name Candidatus Giovannonibacteria bacterium RIFCSPHIGHO2_02_FULL_45_13. RNAcentral's name for it is "tRNA-OTHER". It matches the Rfam family "tRNA". From Rfam's summary of the family: Transfer RNA (tRNA) molecules are approximately 80 nucleotides in length. Their secondary structure includes four short double-helical elements and three loops (D, anti-codon, and T loops). The record is from RNAcentral. RNAcentral also lists the same sequence under 1 other name. Lineage: Bacteria; Candidatus Giovannoniibacteriota.